CAUGCAGGCGGUCGGACGCGUUUUGUGUGACAGCGGGUGGCUUAACUACCCGAGUAUGCGAAAGACGGUCUGACUUGAGGGCUCGAGAGGGACACGGAAUUCCGGGUGGAGUGGUGAAAUGCGUAGAGAUCCGGAGGAACACCGAAGGCGAAGGCAGUGUCCUGGCGAGUGACUGACGCUGAGGUGCGAAAGCUAGGGGAGCGAACGGGAUUAGAUACCCCGGUAGUCCUAGCCGUAAACGAUGACCACCAGGUGUGGGAGGUAUCGACCCCUUCCGCGCCGGAGGAAACCCACUAAGUGGUCCGCCUGGGGAGUACGGUCGCAAGAUUAAA
Molecule: ribosomal RNA, 332 nt
Filed under: uncultured bacterium
Lineage: Bacteria
Description: bacterial SSU rRNA
Rfam family: Bacterial small subunit ribosomal RNA
Source: RNAcentral